GACGAACGCUGGCGGCGUGCUUAACACAUGCAAGUCGAACGGAAAGGCCCUGCUUUUGUGGGGUGCUCGAGUGGCGAACGGGUGAGUAACACGUGAGUAACCUGCCCUUGACUUUGGGAUAACUUCAGGAAACUGGGGCUAAUACCGGAUAGGAGCUCCUGCUGCAUGGUGGGGGUUGGAAAGUUUCGGCGGUUGGGGAUGGACUCGCGGCUUAUCAGCUUGUUGGUGGGGUAGUGGCUUACCAAGGCUUUGACGGGUAGCCGGCCUGAGAGGGUGACCGGCCACAUUGGGACUGAGAUACGGCCCAGACUCCUACGGGAGGCAGCAGUGGGGAAUAUUGCACAGUGGGCGGAAGCCUGAUGCAGCAACGCCGCGUGCGGGAUGACGGCCUUCGGGUUGUAACCCGCUUUCGCCUGUGACGAAGCGUGAGUGACGGUAAUGGGUAAAGAAGCACCGGCUAACUACGUG
This 468-nucleotide ribosomal RNA is filed under the name uncultured bacterium. Its description in RNAcentral is "partial 16S ribosomal RNA". It matches the Rfam family "Bacterial small subunit ribosomal RNA", at positions 28 to 507 of the family's 1533-position model. The record is from RNAcentral.